UACUAACUUCAUACAUGUGUAAAGUCAUAGUACACUCUAAAGCAAACUGAUCUGCAAGUAUUUACAAGAUAGAUCUACAAGAUGAGAUGCAAACUUUCUAUAAUUUCAUGUAAUAUUUUGUUGGUGCUCCAGCAGCUGGUGUCUGGACAGCAGUGUGGUACAGUCGGUCGUGUGGGCAGUACAAGGACUGGUGCAAUGGAGAAUAGAGCAAGAAACGAGUUCUACAUUGAUCGUGGUAAUCGUGCUGGAUGUGCUGGGAUGAUCACCUCACUCUCUUACUGUUUCCAUCGACCACCAUUGACUGUUCCAGUUGCUAACGAGUACCUGACUCAGUUGCGGUGUACAGACCAGCGAGCACCAACACAAAUGAGAAUGUAUUUACUGUUGUUUCUUCACCGAUCACAAUACAAAAACCAUUUGUAGAGCUUCUAACUGAAUUAAACGCUGCUACUGAUACGAACUUUUCCUGCUCUGUAUUUAACCUACCACAACCAGUAGCCAUGGAGACUGGUGAUGUUCUUGGAGCGUGUGUGUUUGACCCUGAUGAUACUACAAGUGGUGUCACUACCUACCGUCUUGACAUAGUCAGCAGAGCUGCUUUAGGAAGUGAAGACCUUGUGAGAACAAACACAGAUCCCAGUAGCCCACCUGCUGGCUGCAGUGCUACUACUGUGCCAGGUUCUUUUGAUAGAGGCGCAUCUGGUACUGGCUCUAGAUCUAGUACUUCAAGGUCCCUUCACCUCUGGGCAAACAUAGAAGUGGCUACAACUGAAGCACCUACAAUGGUAAAAACUACUACUACUAUGGAAGUGACUACAAUUGGAGCGACUACAUCUGAACCGACUGAGGACACCACGACUAUCAUGGAAGUGACUACCAUGGAAGCGACUACUAUGGAAGCGACUACAAUGGAAGUGACUACAUCUUCCACAACUACAUCUGAACCGACUGAGGACACCACCACUCCCGAAGACGUCACAACAGACAUGACCACAGCAGGUGGUCCACUGAUUACUGAUGGGGACUCUACUACUUCCACCACAAACCAAGGGACAACGAGCAACCCUGAUGCCAACACUGCACAACCCAUUGGUGGUGAGGGAGGUGGUUCUAACGUAGCAACUGUUGCCAUUGCUGUGGUAGUUGCACUCAUUAUUGUGAUUGCUUUAGUUGCCAUACUAAUACUUGUGUUGUUAAGGCGACGAUCGAAAGCAUUGCACUCAAUAAAAAACAGUGAAGUACCUGACAAAUCUGGGAGGGAAACUGCUGUUGACUUGAAGUCCAACGAAACUUACGGUAUUCAUGGUGAGCCUCGAGACACUCCCACAGACUAUGAGAAUCCUUUUGGUGAAUGCUCGCCUAGUCAGCAAUCUGUAGAAGUAGCCAUAGAUCUGUGCAUGAUCUUUACAAAUGGAUUCACUGUUUGUGAAAGGGUUUAAAAAAAGCAUUGUUCACAUGUACGUUCAUUGCUUAAUUGUAUACACAAAAUUAGCCUUCAUUCUAUCGGUUUAAAUUCCAACGAGGCUUAUGGUGAAACUCGAGACACUCCCACAGACUACUACGAUCAUGUUCUUAAAGAAUUCAAAGACAACCAUCAACAACUCAACAACCCAAUGAUGUGACAUAUGAGGAAGUACCAGGACCUAUACAUUACAACGAUCCCUGUCAGCCGAUACCUUUAGAAAACAAUGAAGCUUAUGGUGUCCACAAAUCUGCACAAAUGGCUGAAACAUGCUCACAAGAAGUUGACCUAAAGUCCAACGAGGCGUAUGGUGUGAGAGGGGAGGUGCAAGUUGCUGCCAUUAAUGGGACAACAACUGACGCAGUGUGCUAUAGUGUCAUUGACUCACCUGGUCAGCAAUAUGCAGAGAUAGUAAGUGGAAUUGAAAUUCGGAUGGACAGCAAUGAAGCAUAUGGCACAUCUGAGAGAGAUAGAGAAACUGAGGAAACACUUGACUAUGAUUAUGCUUUUCUGUAAACUAAAUCAUGCACUGCCGCGGAACCAACUAUCAAUGAAUACAAAUAUGGUUUGAUUUUAAAAUAUUGUCUGUAAUAAUCUUUACAUGCCGUAUACAUGUAGCGGGGAAUUUUCGUG
Molecule: RNA transcript, 2095 nt
Organism: Halichondria panicea
Lineage: Eukaryota; Metazoa; Porifera; Demospongiae; Suberitida; Halichondriidae
Exons: 5
Source: RefSeq, a predicted model, not a curated record